Molecule: unclassified non-coding RNA, 482 nt
Filed under: Zea mays
Lineage: Eukaryota; Viridiplantae; Streptophyta; Magnoliopsida; Poales; Poaceae
Description: misc RNA Zm00001eb027870
Source: RNAcentral
CGGCCAAUAGGCCAUGUCGCCGCAUUGGAUGUGCAUUGCACUUUUGUUUCAAGCAAGCAGGUUCGCACCAUGGUUUUAAAUCUCCCGCUGUACAAUUUAGCCGCUAUCUCCCGCUAUAGCUCCAUUUGGAACUAUCUCCAAGAGAACACACAAAAUCUUCCUAAAACCAAUAUUAGAGAUGAAACCCAAUUUUUUAUUACUCCAACAGCACCCUCUUCAUGCCCGCAUUUUUUCGUGUCCCACAUAUAUGACCUGUCGUCCCACAAAUAUGAGGGAGAAGAAAUCUCUCCCAAGCGCCUCGUACAUGCAUUUUAGUGUGUGAAAAUCACGUCGCACAAUAUGCUGCGAUCUAGAAGGUGAAAUCACGUAUGUUUGUUUAAUAUGGGCCAAGCCCUUCUAUCGAGUGAAAACAUGGCUGAUGCAACAAAAAAGGCCAAUUCAUGCCUAGGGUUUUUUUAGCUGUCCCAAUUUUCACUUUAGUC